AACGGCCAUACCAUGCUGAAUAUACCGGUUCUCGUUCGAUCACCGAAGUCAAGCAUCAUCGGGAGCGGUCAGUACUUGGGAGGUUGACCACCUGGGAACACCGCGUGCCGUU
RNAcentral lists this ribosomal RNA (112 nucleotides) under Caerostris extrusa. The record is from RNAcentral. Lineage: Eukaryota; Metazoa; Arthropoda; Arachnida; Araneae; Araneidae.